Molecule: long non-coding RNA, 476 nt
Organism: Gavialis gangeticus (Gharial)
Lineage: Eukaryota; Metazoa; Chordata; Crocodylia; Gavialidae
Exons: 2
Source: RefSeq, a predicted model, not a curated record
CCUCGGCGCACACGUGAAAGCUCCAGAUCCAGGCGGCGGCCGCAAGACAGCAAGAAGCCGAGGGAGUGGAGGCAGAAGGGAGACAAACCCGGGAAGGAUGCUUUGCGUACAAGUUACAUAGCGAUCAGUGCAUUUUUUUUUCCUCCAGUUUCGGAAGUAAAGUGUUGUUUUAAAAGAGAUGAUGCAUUAUCUAUUCUUGGAUUUUUUUAUAAGGCAAACUGUGGGCCUCGCUGUUGCCAUGGGAUCUUCUUUGUGCCAACUCUCAGAACUGUGUGGGAACAGUUUUAUUUCCUUCCCUUCAGGUUUCUUUCUUCCCCCCCCCUUUUUUUCUUCUCUUUUUAUUCCCCCCCCCCCCAUUUUGAAGCGCUGUAGCAAAAUGUAACUGCAUUAUUGCCAAUUAAGACUAACAGCAGCUGCAAGGUGCAGCUAAUUAGAAAUGUUAAUUACUUCACAAAAUAAAUAGUCGUUUGCAGAUG